This 404-nucleotide ribosomal RNA is filed under the name uncultured prokaryote. RNAcentral describes it as "bacterial SSU rRNA". It matches the Rfam family "Bacterial small subunit ribosomal RNA", at positions 355 to 776 of the family's 1533-position model. The record is from RNAcentral. RNAcentral also lists the same sequence under 1 other name.
UGGGGAAUAUUGCACAAUGGGGGAAACCCUGAUGCAGCAACGCCGCGUGAGUGAUGAAGGUUUUCGGAUCGUAAAACUCUGUCUUUGGGGACGAUAAUGACGGUACCCAAGGAGGAAGCCACGGCUAACUACGUGCCAGCAGCCGCGGUAAUACGUAGGUGGCAAGCGUUGUCCGGAUUUACUGGGCGUAAAGGGAGCGUAGGUGGACUUUUAAGUGAGAUGUGAAAUACUCGGGCUCAACCCGAGAACUGCAUUUCAAACUGGAAGUCUAGAGUGCAGGAGAGGAAAGUGGAAUUCCUAGUGUAGCGGUGAAAUGCGUAGAUAUUAGGAAGAACACCAGUGGCGAAGGCGACUUUCUGGACUGUAACUGACACUGAGGCUCGAAAGCGUGGGGAGCAAACAGG